CUUAGAAAUCGCGGUCUGAAUUUUGUCUCAGGAAAUGACAAGCCUACUACUCACCUACCAUGAACAAAAAUAAGAAACACCUGUUAUCUUGUUGUUCUUACUUAAUUUGCUUCCUCUGGUCCACUUUGUUUCCUUGCCUUCAUUCUGAAGACCUGAGAUGAACAGCAGUGAGGUCCUUGUUGUUGUUGUUGUUGUUGUUGUUGUUGUUGUUGUUGUUGUUGUUUGUAACAUUUAUGAUUAAAGUAACAGGUUAAUUUUCAGAUUAAGUUUCCUGAUCUAACUGGCUGUGUGGUUUCAUGGCUGCUCACUCUCAGAGAUACAGUAAGAUCACACACCUGAACAAUCACAAGGCUGCCCUUUUCAGACACAGUAUGUAUGCACACUGGCUAACAUUUUCGGGAAGCCUAAGUUUCAACAGUGCUUCUCCAAAGAAUGGAAACAAUAAUUUGCAGAAAUCCUUUAGUCUGACUUUUUCUCGUGAUGUGGUUUGAGCUAGUGGAAAAUCCAAGUCCAGAUUAUGCUCUGGCAACCGUCUCUGUAUCUGCGCCUGAGUGAUGGCCUUCCGGGGAGGAGCAAGCUUGGCACCUCAUCCCUGUACUCAGCAUAAACUCAUUAACUGCUAUGGCUCAGGUGAGGUCUUCUGCAAUCCUGAAGUGAAAUGGUAGAUAAUGAGGAUAUAUAAGUUUGUGAAAGCCGGAGGAGCUAAAUAACUUUUCUGGGAUAGUGACAGACUUCACUUAACACCCUGGAGACAUAGGAAAGUAAGUUAGUUAAACAGAGUCUCAAGAAUGUCUCACAUAGUUUUCUCUGCUGUUCAGGAGCCCAAUUCCCGAUAACAGGACAAUACAUACUAAGUACUUGAGUCAGCUGGCUGCCAAAGUACAAAUCUGGUAUUUGUUCCCAUUGCACAAAGUAGCACUGAUGUCAUAAAAGAUAUGAAAAGCUUUACAUUGUCCUUCUUAUUUUUAAACCACUUUAUACUUUUGUAUUUUGAUUAUUUUUAGUAUAUAUCCUAACAGUAAUGGGUGACAUGCAUCAUUAAGUGUGGAUGAAAAAUAGCGGAUGCAAAUGUGAAUGAAAA
RNAcentral lists this long non-coding RNA (1081 nucleotides) under Coturnix japonica (Japanese quail). RNAcentral's name for it is "lncRNA (ENSCJPG00005019494.1)". The record is from RNAcentral. Lineage: Eukaryota; Metazoa; Chordata; Aves; Galliformes; Phasianidae.